GGCUGCUCUGGCUUCGAUGGGUGAACAAAGCUCAUUGUUUCAGAGGAGGAUUGAUGGGUGACACUGCCUCCAACACCAAGGGGAGAUUAGGGGUCUGUCCUUACAUCCUGGUAUUCAACACCCGGGUCGGCCCGCUGCAAAACAACAUCAAACGCCAUCCUAUUCCUUAUAUAGUGUUCUACUGUUGAAGAGGGCCGAUGGGGCACUUCCAUAGGGACUGGGGUUCCAUUUGGGAUGCAGGACACAUGUCCAGGUGCCCCACUGCAGCCAGGCUCCUCAGUCUUCAGCUCCCCAGGCCCCAGGCUCCUCAGUCUUCAGCUCCCCAGGCUCCUCAGUCUUCAGCUCCCCCGGCCCCAGGCACUCCUCAGUCUUCAACUCCCCAGGCCCCAGGCUCCUCAGUCUUCAGCUCCCCAGGCCCCAGGCUCCUCAGUCUUCAGCUCCCCAGGCCCCAGGCACUCCUCAGUCUUCAGCUCCCCAGGCUCCUCAGUCUUCAGCUCCCCAGGCCCCAGGCUCCUCAGUCUUCAGCUCCCCAGGCUCCUCAGUCUUCAGCUCCCCAGGCUCCUCAGUCUUCAGCUCCCCAGGCCCCAGGCUCCUCAGUCUUCAGCUCCCCAGGCCCCAGGCUCCUCAGUCUUCAGCUCCCCAGGCCCCAGGCACUUCAACAUGAACACAUUGUCC
Long non-coding RNA from Oncorhynchus tshawytscha (Chinook salmon), 675 nucleotides. The record is from Ensembl. Lineage: Eukaryota; Metazoa; Chordata; Actinopteri; Salmoniformes; Salmonidae.